UGUCAUUCUAGAUACACUUUCCAGUACAUCUACUAUGUUACGACUUAUCUUACCUUAAUAAUAAGAGCGACGGGCGAUGUGUACAUAUUUUAGAGCUAAAAUCAAAUUAUUAAUCUUUAUAAUUUUACUACCAAAUCCACCUUCAAAAAUUUUUUCAUAAUUUAAUCCGUUUAAAUAAUUUUAUUGUAACCCAUUAUUACUUAAAUAUAAGCUACACCUUGAUCUGAUAUAAAUUUUAAUAAAAAUUAUUGAAUAUUAUUAUUCUUGUAAAAUAUUCUGAUAACGACGGUAUAUAAACUGAUUACAAAUUUAAGUAAGGUCCAUCGCGGAUUAUCGAUUACAAAACAGGUUCCUCUGGAUAGACUAAAAUACCGCCAAAUUUUUUAAGUUUCAAGAACUUAUCUAUUACUACUUAAGUAUUUAUAUUUACAUUUUAAAUAAUAGGGUAUCUAAUCC
RNAcentral lists this ribosomal RNA (456 nucleotides) under Drosophila kanekoi. RNAcentral describes it as "partial 12S ribosomal RNA". The record is from RNAcentral. Lineage: Eukaryota; Metazoa; Arthropoda; Insecta; Diptera; Drosophilidae.